Molecule: ribosomal RNA, 468 nt
Filed under: uncultured bacterium
Lineage: Bacteria
Description: partial 16S ribosomal RNA
Rfam family: Bacterial small subunit ribosomal RNA
Source: RNAcentral
GACGAACGCUGGCGGCGUGCUUAACACAUGCAAGUCGAACGGAAAGGCCCUGCUUUUGGGGGGUGCGCGAGUGGCGAACGGGUGAGUAACACGUGAGUAACCUGCCCUUGACUUUGGGAUAACUUCAGGAAACUGGGGCUAAUACCGGAUAGGAGCUCCUGCUGCAUGGUGGGGGUUGGAAAGUUUCGGCGGUUGGGGAUGGACUCGCGGCUUAUCAGCUUGUUGGUGGGGUAGUGGCUUACCAAGGCGUUGACGGGUAGCCGGCCUGAGAGGGUGACCGGCCACAUUGGGACUGAGAUACGGCACAGACUCCUACGGGAGGCAGCAGUGGGGAGUAUUGCACAAUGGGAGGAAGCCUGAUGCAGCAACGCCGCGUGCGGGAUGACGGCCUUCGCGUUGUAAACCGAUUUCGCCUGUGACGAAGCGUGAGUGACGGUAAUGGGUAAAGAAGCACCGGCUAACUACGUG